CACACCGACCGCUGUCAUGGCAAGAGGACACGUGGCCACCGCGUUUCUGAGACGGAUCUUAGGAACUUGGCCUCGUACAGGUUUGGCGGCUGCACAGCGUCUCGCUGCCUGCCUCCCAGGACCGCCGACCACCCCCAAGGCGCGUGUUCAGCCACACCAACAACCAGGCCCACCUCGGAGGGCCGCUCCCGAGUAAUGAGCCACGCCAGGCCCCACUCUGUUGAAGGAGUCCUCUGUGGCUCGCGGCCGGCUCAUUACUGCAGGUGUUUGUUUAUUCAGGCUCCGAUGGGUGGGCCAAGCCCGCUGCAGACAGCGCGUUCCUCACUGAGUCCUGCUCUCACCCCCUUUCCUCCAGGACUCGCCCCUCUCCGGGGGCUCCAGGGGCGGGGGCGGGGGGAGGCCAAGCAGCUCACUGUCCCGGGAGCCCGGGUGGAGGAGCCAGAGACGGAAGUGGAAGGGGGCCGCUCCCAUGCCAGGCUGCCCGCCCGCGCCUCCCUGGCAACAAGGCCUGUCUGGGACCCAGGGCUCCCUGCCGCGAGACAUGAGACAGGAGCUCUGGGGACCGCUGCCACCCGGCCUGGGCACAGGCUGGCUGUGGGCCGUGGGCCUGGAGGGACCCGAGGAGAAGGGCUCCUGUCGAUGGAGCCCCGGCGGCGGCAGAGCAUCCUCUUCCUCCUGCUCGGCCUCCCUCCAUCCUCCAGGCCCUUCUCCUCCUCCUCGCCGGGACCCCUCACCCCCACCCCAUGGUGGCGGCCGGCUGACAACUACUCCGCAGGGUCCCUAACCGGGCUGGCCACACCCUCAUCUCGCAGAGCUCAGCUCAGGCCCCCCUGUGCCAACCCUCGUCUCCAGCACAGAGACCUCUCUCCGCGCAGAGUCCAUAAAUGCAGCACAGCCCAGAAUGCAAAGACAAGGCGGAACAGAGCAGCACUUCGGCGGGGGCCCUCUGCCACCUGGCUUCAUUCAGUCCUGGGCACGCAGGGUCUGUCUCUGUUGGACUCGAUUUCUCCA
Molecule: long non-coding RNA, 1011 nt
Filed under: Suricata suricatta (meerkat)
Lineage: Eukaryota; Metazoa; Chordata; Mammalia; Carnivora; Herpestidae
Description: lncRNA (ENSSSUG00005021625.1)
Source: RNAcentral